Molecule: non-coding RNA, 2212 nt
Organism: Callithrix jacchus (white-tufted-ear marmoset)
Lineage: Eukaryota; Metazoa; Chordata; Mammalia; Primates; Cebidae
Source: RefSeq, a predicted model, not a curated record
GGCUGGGGCACCCAGAACCGGGAGUCAAGAUCUGCAAUCUCAGGACUAAGGGACAAUUCCACUCCUUUUUUCCUGAAAUGCGAGGGGUGAGAAGAGCAGGGGUGUUCUGCAGGGCCUGCUCCAUUUUCCAGGGUGAAGGAGAGGCCGAGGGAGGUAGAGCGGGAGGAGGUGGGGCUUACUGUGAAACUGGGUCAAGAUGGCCUCGGCAGGGCUACCAGGCUCUGAGGCAGCAGCUGUGGGCAGUGCCGAGGGACCAGCUCUGACGGAAAUGGAGUAGCAGCAGAUCUCUCGGUCCUGGAUGGCAGACAGAUUCCUGGGGGAAACCAGAGCACAGUCGGCUGAAGCUAUGAUCGCCCAGGGGGUCUGGGGCUAGGGGACAGCAGGGCCUUUUUCCUACUCAAGAGGCUACAAGGAGGGGGAGGCGCCUGAAAAGGUGGGCUCUUCUGCCACCGUGUGGCUAAUCCUGAGAACAGCAGCAAGCCUAAACCGUUGGUCUGGCAGUUGGGGAAUUGGGAGAGCAGAAAGUAAUAUAAAGAGCCACCCAACUCACAUUUUCUCAAUCAGCUCCUUCUCAUCCAAUGCUCCCGGGAGGUCUCGCUUGUUACCCAGGACUAAGACCUACGGAGAAGGGAGGGUGAGGAUGAGGUCUAGGGCAGCUGUGCCCAGGUUGUCUGGGUGGUGAGCUGGCCUCCUGAGCCCGUUUCCUCUCUGCGUCCCUCACCCAGGCUGGAGUGCAGUGGCAAGAUCUUGGCUCACUGCAACCUCCACCUCCCAGGUUCAAGCAAUGCUCUGCCUUAGCCUCCUGGGUAGCUGGGAUUAUAGGCACUUGCCACGGGGGUCUCACCAUCUUGGCCAGGGUGGUCUUGAACUGCUGACCUUGUGAUCCAUCCACCUCAGCCUCCCAAAGUGCUUACAGGCAUGAGCCAUCACACCUGGCCGCCAUGCUUGAUUUUUCCCUGCCCCCAGUGACUACCCAGCCGGUCUCCCUCCCCAUCCCGCUCCCUCAGGUCCGCUGACCGGGAUGCCUUGCAGCUGAGGUUUGUCCAGGAGGUUGUGAAGCUCGUUCUUAGAGGCCUCAAUCUUCUCCUGGUCAGCAGCAUCCACCAUGUACCUGGAGACAAAGGCAGGGUGGGGACAAGCAUGUUGACAUCACAGGCCGAGGUCGUGCAAGGAAGAGAAGGAGCUGCUGCUUGGAGGUGAGAGCCUCUGUGGCAGCUUGUCACCUUGGGACCCACGGGCUACCUUGCUUGGCUCAAGGCAGGUACUCCGAGGAUGUUUCUGAAUCUAUGGGAGCAAAGAGCUGCAGGGAUUCCUGGGGCCUGCCAUUAGCUUCCAAGUGCUACUCUGGGGAAGCCGUUACUCAUGUGGAAAAGCGUGGGCCCUUUAGGAUUAGCUAUAAAUCCCUCUCAAAGUGACCCACUUAUGUUUUCAUGGAAAGACUAAAUAAGGUUAGAGUGAAAAAAAGCAAAGGAAAAUCCAGAAUAUUUUGUUUAGCAAGAUACUUUUUGUUAUCAGGUUAAAAAGUAACUUACUGUUUAUUCUGAAGAAUCUAUUGUUUGAGCAUAUAUAUAUAUAUCUCAUAAAUUAUUAUUAUUAUUUUGAGGCAGUGUCUCACUCUGUCACCCAGGCUGGAGUGCAGUGGGGUGAUCUCAGCUCACUGCAACCUCUGCCUCCAGGGUUCAAGUGAUUCUCCUGCCUCAGCCUCCUGAGUAGCUGGGAUUAUAGGCACUCACCACCACCCCUGGCUAAUUUUUGUAUUUUUAGUAGAGACGGGGGUCAGGCUGGUUUCGAACUCCUGACCUCGUGAUCCACCCGCCUUGGCCUCCUAAAGUGCUGGGAUUACACGCAUGAGCCACCACGCCCGGCCUCUUAUUAUUAUUUUUUGAGGCAAGUUCUCACUCUGUCACCCAGGCUGAAGUGCAGUGGUGGGAUUACAGCUCACUGUAGCCUCGACUUCCUGGACUCAAGAGACUCUCCCACUUCAGUUGUCUGAGUAGCGGGGACUACAGGUGCGUGCCACCAGGCCCAGCUAAUUUUUGUACUUUUGUAGAGAUAAAGUUUUGCCAUGUUACCCAGGUUGGUUUUGAACUCCUGACCUCAAGUGAUCUGUUUGCCUUGGCCUCCCACUGUGCCCCACCAUUUUUCAAUGUUUAAAAUUUAUUUUAUUUUUUUAAAGACAGGAUCUUGCUAUGUUGCCUAGGCUGGCCUUAAA